RNAcentral lists this ribosomal RNA (433 nucleotides) under uncultured bacterium. RNAcentral's name for it is "partial 16S ribosomal RNA". It matches the Rfam family "Bacterial small subunit ribosomal RNA", at positions 29 to 507 of the family's 1533-position model. The record is from RNAcentral.
AACGAACGCUGGCGGCAUGCCUAACACAUGCAAGUCGAGCGAGACAUGCGGGUCUAGUGGCGCACGGGUGCGUAACGGGUGGGGACAUGCCCUUAGGUUCGGAAUACCUCCCCGCAAGGGGUGCUAAUACGGGAUAAUGUCUUCGGCCCAAAGAUUUCUCGACAUUGGAGGGGCCCGGGUUGGAUUAGCUAGUUGGUAGCGUAAAAGCCUACCAAGGCGACGUUCCAUAGCUGGUCAGAGAGGAAGAUCCGCCACUCUGGGACUGAGACACGGCCGAGACUCCUACGGAAGGCAGCAGUGCGGAAUAUUGGACAACGGGCGAAAGCCUGAUCCUGCAAGGCCGCGUGAGUGAUUUAGGCCUGAGGGUUGUAAAGCACGUUUACCCGGUACUAUAAUGACAGUACCGGGAGAAUAAGCGCCGGCUAACUCCGUG